Molecule: RNase P RNA, 426 nt
Filed under: Betaproteobacteria bacterium
Lineage: Bacteria; Pseudomonadati; Pseudomonadota; Betaproteobacteria
Description: RNase P RNA component class A
Rfam family: Bacterial RNase P class A
About the family: Ribonuclease P (RNase P) is a ubiquitous endoribonuclease, found in archaea, bacteria and eukarya as well as chloroplasts and mitochondria. Its best characterised activity is the generation of mature 5'-ends of tRNAs by cleaving the 5'-leader elements of precursor-tRNAs. Cellular RNase Ps are ribonucleoproteins.
Source: RNAcentral
GAAGCUGGCCAGGCAGCCGCUGUGUGCGGACCAAACCGGACAGGGCGACCUGUACGUGCCGUGCAUAGAGGAAAGUCCGGGCUCCACAGGGUAGGGUGACGGGUAACGCCCGUCCGCCGUGAGGCGAGGAACAGGGCCACAGAGAAUGAACCGCCGAUGGCCGUUCGACUUGCGGCGCGCGAGCGGCGCAAAGUCUCUCUUUAAUGGGAAGAAUGGAUCAGGUAAGGGUGAAAAGGUGCGGUAAGAGCGCACCGCACUCGCGGUAACGCGAGUGGCACGGUAACCUCCACCCGGAGCAACACCGAAUAGGCAAGCGUUGACGCGUCCCGCCGAGCUUGCGGGUAGGUGGCUUGAGCUGUACAGCGAUGUGCGGCCCAGAGGAAUGGCUGUCCACGACAGAACCCGGCUUACCGGCCAGCUUCACCA